RNAcentral lists this ribosomal RNA (443 nucleotides) under uncultured bacterium. Its description in RNAcentral is "partial 16S ribosomal RNA". It matches the Rfam family "Bacterial small subunit ribosomal RNA", at positions 338 to 795 of the family's 1533-position model. The record is from RNAcentral.
CCUACGGGUGGCAGCAGUGGGGAAUAUUGGGCAAUGGGCGCAAGCCUGACCCAGCAACGCCGCGUGAAGGAAGAAGGCUUUCGGGUUGUUAACUUCUUUUCUCAGGGACGAAGAAAGUGACGGUACCUGCGGAAUAAGCCACGGCUAACUACGUGCCAGCAGCCGCGGUAAUACGUAGGUGGCAAGCGUUAUCCGGAUUUAUUGGGUGUAAAGGGCGUGUAGGCGGGAGCGCAAGUCAGAUGUGAAAACUCAGGGCUCAACCCUGAGCCUGCAUUUGAAACUGUGUUUCUUGAGUGCUGGAGAGGCAAUCGGAAUGCCGUGUGUAGCGGUGAAAUGCGUAGAUAUACGGAGGAACACCAGUGGCGAAGGCGGAUUGCUGGACAGUAACUGACGCUGAGGCGCGAAAGCGUGGGGAGCAAACAGGAUUAGAUACCCUAGUAGUC